ACAAAAAAUUAUAACAAAAAUUCAAAAUUAAUUUGCUUGAGAAUUAAAAAAAAAAAAAAUGAAACUAUUGGGUAGUUAUUUAUUGGCUACUUUGUUUGCAAUAAUAUUUAGCAUUACGAUGUUUUUUAAAGCAGUAGAGUCAAUACAAUUUGCCAGAUGUACAAGUGAUUCAGAAUGUUUACCAGAAAAAGAGUACUGUGAUUUUAAUCGUUGUCGUCGUGUUUCCAAACUACAAUUAUAAUUUUAAAUGAAAAAAUAACACAAUUAUCUAUGUGUAAUUUUUAACGUUUACAUAUAUUCAAUGUAAGCUUUUAUUUUUUUUUUCUUUAAUAAUACAUAAAUCAAUAAACAACAUUGUUCAAAAAAAAUUAACA
This is a long non-coding RNA of Aphidius gifuensis, 374 nucleotides long. RefSeq lists it as uncharacterized. NCBI's taxonomy places the organism in Eukaryota, Metazoa, Arthropoda, Insecta, Hymenoptera, Braconidae. The record is from RefSeq and is a predicted model, not a curated record. The transcript has 3 exons.